RNAcentral lists this unclassified non-coding RNA (184 nucleotides) under uncultured bacterium. RNAcentral describes it as "16S-23S intergenic spacer". The record is from RNAcentral.
UCUAUGGAGACUUGUUGAUAUAACUUGCUCUGCAAGUUAUAUCAACCAAGAAGCUACUUUUCUACUGUUCGAUUUUGAAGGACCAAGAGGCUUAACGCUGUUAAGCUUUUUGAAUCCUUAGUUCUUUGAAAACUGCACAACAACAAUAAGCAAAGGUAAAGAAAUGCAAUGCAAUGACAUAAUU